Molecule: ribosomal RNA, 503 nt
Filed under: uncultured Sphingobacteriales bacterium
Lineage: Bacteria; Pseudomonadati; Bacteroidota; Sphingobacteriia; Sphingobacteriales
Description: bacterial SSU rRNA
Rfam family: Bacterial small subunit ribosomal RNA
Source: RNAcentral
CGCCUUGCCAGCCCGACUCAGAACUUAAAUGAAUUGACGGGGGCCCGCACAAGCGGUGGAGCAUGUGGUUUAAUUCGAUGAUACGCGAGGAACCUUACCUGGGCUCAAAUGUAUGUUGACGUAUUCUGAAAGGGAUACUUCUUCGGACAAUAUACAAGGUGCUGCAUGGUUGUCGUCAGCUCGUGCCGUGAGGUGUCGGGUUAAGUCCCAUAACGAGCGCAACCCCUAUCAUUAGUUGCCAUCAGGUCAAGCUGGGGACUCUAAUGAAACUGCCUACGCAAGUAGUGAGGAAGGUGGGGAUGACGUCAAAUCAGCACGGCCCUUACGUCCAGGGCUACACACGUGCUACAAUGGCCGGUACAACGGGCAGCGAAGGAGCGAUCCGGAGCGAAUCCUAAAAAGCCGGUCCCAGUUCGGAUUGCAGGCUGAAACUCGCCUACAUGAAGUUGGAGUUGCUAGUAAUCGCGAAUCAGAAUGUCGCGGUGAAUGCGUUCCCGGGUCUU